Molecule: ribosomal RNA, 253 nt
Filed under: uncultured bacterium
Lineage: Bacteria
Description: partial 16S ribosomal RNA
Rfam family: Bacterial small subunit ribosomal RNA
Source: RNAcentral
GACGUAGGGGGCGAGCGUUGUCCGGAAUCACUGGGCGUAAAGAGCUCGUAGGCGGGGUUGCACGUCUUGGUGUAAAUCCAUCUGCUUAACGGAUGGGUCGUCUGAGAUACGGCAGCUCUUGAGGACAGAAGAGGAAAGCAGAAUUCCGGGUGUAGCGGUGAAAUGCGUAGAUAUCCGGAGGAAUACCAGUGGCGAAGGCGGCUUUCUGGUCUGAUUCUGACGCUGAGGAGCGAAAGCCAGGGGAGCGAACGGG